Molecule: small nucleolar RNA, 65 nt
Organism: Phyllostomus discolor (pale spear-nosed bat)
Lineage: Eukaryota; Metazoa; Chordata; Mammalia; Chiroptera; Phyllostomidae
Product: small nucleolar RNA SNORD121A
Exons: 1
Source: RefSeq, a predicted model, not a curated record
AACAAUGAUGUGUUCAUUUCCAAGCACAUAUUUGAUGAUUCUAUGCACAGGAGUUCACCGGAGUU